GACGAACGCUGGCGGCGUGCUUAACACAUGCAAGUCGAACGAAGUGGCGAACGGGUGAGUAACGCGUAAUCAACCUGCCCUUCAGAGGGUGACACCAGUUGGAAACGCCUGCUACUACCGCAUACUGCAGGUGGGUCUUGCGUCUGAUUAGCUAGUCGGAGGGGUAACGUCCCACCAAGGCGAUGCUCAGUAACCGGACUGAGAGGAUGAACGGCCACAUUGGGACUGAGACACGACCCAGAGGCCUACGGGAGGCAGCAGUGGGGAAUCUGCCGAAAGAGACGAAAGUCUUACGGAGCAACGCGGAGUGAGUGAGGACGGCCUUCGGGUUGGAAAGCUCUGUUAAUCGGGACGCGGUACCGGGAUAGAAAGCCACGGCUAACUACGUGCCAGCAGCCGCGGUAAUAC
This 408-nucleotide ribosomal RNA is filed under the name uncultured bacterium. RNAcentral's name for it is "partial 16S ribosomal RNA". It matches the Rfam family "Bacterial small subunit ribosomal RNA", at positions 28 to 526 of the family's 1533-position model. The record is from RNAcentral.